Molecule: long non-coding RNA, 354 nt
Organism: Drosophila subobscura
Lineage: Eukaryota; Metazoa; Arthropoda; Insecta; Diptera; Drosophilidae
Exons: 2
Source: RefSeq, a predicted model, not a curated record
GGCUGGCUAACGGUUUGGCUGCAAAAAACAAAAAAAAUUGAAUUCACACCUCCAGUUUCCCCGUGGCAUUCAAAGAGAUAAGCGAUUACCAGUGGCAACCAGUAGCACCUUUGAGCCGCGACUGGCGUGGCAGCUAAGUAUAGCUCCACCCAGCUACGCCUCUUUUGGGGGGGGACCAACUGCGCCUGUAUUGGUGGGGUACCAACUGCAUUGCCACUGCGAUUGUUUAAAUAUAUUCUGAUAAAUAUGCGAUUAUGAAUAGUUAUAGUUUGGUUAGCACUUGUUUGGCUUUCGAUCAAAUUGCAACUACAAUGAACAAUAACAAUAAAAUGCUACGCUACAUUAAGUUUAAUU